CCUAGGGUGGCAGCAGUGGGGAAUAUUGCACAAUGGGCGAAAGCCUGAUGCAGCUAUACCGCGUGUAUGAAGAAGGCCUUAGGGUUGUAAAGUACUUUCGUCGGGGAAGAAAAAUUAACAGAUAAUACCUGUUUUUCUUGACGUUACCCGAAGAAGAAGCACCGGCUAACUCCGUGCCAGCAGCCGCGGUAAUACGGAGGGUGCAAGCGUUAAUCAGAAUUACUGGGCGUAAAGAGCUCGUAGGCGGUUUUUUAAGUCAGAUGUGAAAUCCCUGGGCUUAACCUAGGAACUGUGUUUGAAACUAAAAAGCUAGAGUCUCGUAGAGGGAGGUAGAAUUCUAGGUGUAGCGGUGAAAUGCGUAGAUAUCUGGAGGAAUACCUGUGGCGAAAGCGGCCUCCUAGACGAAUACUGACGCUGAGGUGCGAAAGCAUGGGGAGCAAACAGGAUUAGAUACCCUAGUAGUC
Molecule: ribosomal RNA, 464 nt
Filed under: Buchnera aphidicola (Prociphilus sp.)
Lineage: Bacteria; Pseudomonadati; Pseudomonadota; Gammaproteobacteria; Enterobacterales; Erwiniaceae
Description: bacterial SSU rRNA
Rfam family: Bacterial small subunit ribosomal RNA
Source: RNAcentral